GCCUGGGUGGCUCAGUCGGUUAAGUGUCUGACUUGGGCUCAGAUCAUGAUCUCACAGUUCGUGGGUUCGAGCCCCACGUGGGGCU
RNAcentral lists this transfer RNA (85 nucleotides) under Felis catus (domestic cat). It matches the Rfam family "tRNA". Rfam says of the family: Transfer RNA (tRNA) molecules are approximately 80 nucleotides in length. Their secondary structure includes four short double-helical elements and three loops (D, anti-codon, and T loops). Further hydrogen bonds mediate the characteristic L-shaped molecular structure. tRNAs have two regions of fundamental functional importance: the anti-codon, which is responsible for specific mRNA codon recognition, and the 3' end, to which the tRNAs corresponding amino acid is attached (by aminoacyl-tRNA synthetases). tRNAs cope with the degeneracy of the genetic code in two manners: having more than one tRNA (with a specific anti-codon) for a particular amino acid; and 'wobble' base-pairing, i.e. permitting non-standard base-pairing at the 3rd anti-codon position. RNAcentral also lists the same sequence under 3 other names. Lineage: Eukaryota; Metazoa; Chordata; Mammalia; Carnivora; Felidae. The record is from Rfam by way of RNAcentral.